Globicephala melas (long-finned pilot whale) is the source of this 2540-nucleotide non-coding RNA. Lineage: Eukaryota; Metazoa; Chordata; Mammalia; Artiodactyla; Delphinidae. The record is from RefSeq and is a predicted model, not a curated record.
UUAAUUUUGCUAAAUCAUUCCCGUCUGGAGAUUGUAUAUUUUAAGUUGCCUCUCCAAGCAACACAGAGGUACAGUGUCAGAGAGCCUGAUCUCAAAACCAGGCAAAGAGAUGUGAAAGCUGUAAAGGCCCCAAGCCACAAGAAAGACAGAAAAGGAACAGGGUGGGGUCCUGGCUUAAAUGAUAUUAGCCUUCAGGGUGUAUGCAGUAACUGGGAAGAUGCAAUGGGAGACAUAACCUUUCUCUCAUGGUGAGUGUAAGACUUUUUGUAUGUUUGUGUUUUAAAAAGUUAAUAUCCCUUUGAAAGUUCUAAAGGUGACUUCCUGGGAAAUGUGAACUACCAUGAAAUUUUACUGGAAAAGAGAUUCCAAGGCAAGAGACUUCAAAGUGAGAUUUGUCCAUCAUAAAUAUGAAGGAAUCAGCCUGUAGGCAAACCACGGGGUGAGGCCGGGAAUGCCUGGGUGAGGGUGCAUGUGCACGUGGGAGGGGUGCUGAGCACCCUCUCUCAGUGCCAACCCCCCGCCCCCUGGAGAAAGGUUUUUAUCCUUUAAGAGAACUGCAGAUGGUUUUGGUAUAUAAUAUAUAAUAUGACCUGUUAAGAUUAUACCAAUGAAAUUGGUUUCCUGGAAGACCAGAAGCCUGGACUGUCACCACACCUCCAACCACUCGAUGCCACUACUUCCGAAUCAUGGGACUUGCCUGUCCACUCAGGACUGUGGGACUCUUGGGGAAAUUGCCCAGGCCAUGUUUCACAAACUAGGCCCUGGAACUCGUGGGAAAGGAGCUGUCUUGACUCAUAAGAAAGGGGGCGCUCCAGGUUUCGUUAUGCGUUUUCUAGAGGUACAGAUGAGGUAGGGUGAAGGAGAUAGAGUUCAUGCCUGAAAUAAGGAAAGAGAAAAUUAUCGGGAAAAUAUGUCUUUAGCUAUUCAACCCAGUCCCUUGGGUUAAGAAGGAAUUUAGGAGCCCGGUUUUCCUGAUACCUUUUUUUUUUUUUUUGCGGUACGCGGGCCUCUCACCAUUGUGGCCUCUCCCAUUGCGGAGCAGAGGCUCCCGACGCGCAGGCUCAGCGGCCAUGGCUCACGGGCCCAGCCGCUCCGUGGCAUGUGGGAUCUUCCCGGAUCGGGGCACGAACCCGAGUCCCCUGCAUCGGCAGGUGGACUCAAGCACUGCACCACCAGGGAAGCCCUGAUACCUUCUUAAUUUUGAUAAAAGCAUGGAUUUAAAAACAACGACAACAACAACAGUGGACUGUCAUUGUCAUUUCAGGAUCCAUCAGUGUUUUCCGAUAAAGCUGUAUCAGUAAUAAUAUUUUUUAAAGAUGUACUUUCAUUUUAAGUAGAGAAGAAAAAAAGAAAAGUGAAAAACACACUUUAGCCACUUCAUCUCAUUCAGUUGAAUUUUUCAGGCAAACUACAAACAAGAAUGAUAAAGUCAUUCAGCCUCUGUUAUCCCAAAUGUCCCUAAUGUUUUCCUAAGUAUGUAAUUUACUCUCAUAGCAACUGCAUCAGGAAGACAAAAACCAACAGAAUUAUCCACAGUUUACAGAUGGGUAAAGAAACAGGCAAACAAUCAGGUGAAAAACAAUUUAGUUCCCUCAUUAGUUGUUUUGUCUUCAUGAUCCCAUGUUUUUGUUUUAUUUUAUUUAUUUGUUUGUUUGUUUAUUUAUUUAUUUAUGGCUGCUUUGGGUCUUCGUUGCUGCGUGCGGACUUUACUAGUUAGGGCAAGUGGGGACAACUCUUCUUUGCGGUGUGCCAGCUUCUCAUUUCAGUGCUUUUCUUGUUGAAGAUCACGGACUCUAGGUGCGCAGGCUUCAGUAGUGGUGGCGCACGGGCUUAGUUGCUCCGCGACCUGUGGGAUCUUCCCAGACCAGGGCUCGAACCCGUGUCCCCUGCAUUGGCAGGUGGAUUCUUAACCACUGCACUGCCGGACACAUUGAAAGGAACAUUGAUUUUUUUUAACCCUGAAAACCAAUUAGUAGAGCAUAAUAAUGCCCUUGUCUCCUGAACAUGAAUGCCCAUUCCACUGGGGAGUAACCUACUUACCUGGAAAACAGGAGUUUUCAAUCUAUCUUUUUGGACGUGUCGCGUCUUAAAGGACGGUUAUCUUGGAGAAGGGAUUUGAUGUUGGUGUUGAAGAAAGCUCAUCAAUGGCUUGGCAAGAAAUAAGAGAUGAAGAGUUCUGGAAGCCUGUAAAGAAAAGCUCAUAGAAGAGAACAGACAAGAGAAAUAAUUGUGUCUGGUGCCUCUACCUACCCCCCAAGCCAUGCUGAGAGAAGCAGAAGUGAGAACCGGCACAUGGCAGAAAGUUUUCCAGUAAGGUACUGUUUCUGUCAUCACGUUAGUGUGACUGACCCGGUGAUGUCUCAGAGUGGGUUUAGAGGCAGCGAGAUGUGUGUAUCAGAAUCAACUAGGGAGAUUUGUCAAGCCACUCCCUGGGUUGCUCCUUCCUUCCAUCACCUGUUGAGAACCACUGUAACUGAAGAAAACUUCAGUGACUAGUUCCAGCAGGUAUGGGACAUAAAUAUUGGGUUCUAAAGAGUGGA